This 70-nucleotide transfer RNA is filed under the name Champsocephalus gunnari (mackerel icefish). RNAcentral's name for it is "tRNA-Pro". It matches the Rfam family "tRNA". From Rfam's summary of the family: Transfer RNA (tRNA) molecules are approximately 80 nucleotides in length. The record is from RNAcentral. RNAcentral also lists the same sequence under 1 other name. Lineage: Eukaryota; Metazoa; Chordata; Actinopteri; Perciformes; Channichthyidae.
CAUAGAGUAGUUUAGUUCAGAAUCCUAGCUUUGGGAGUUAGCGGUGGGAGUUAGAAUCUCCUCUCUUUGA